Canis lupus familiaris (dog) is the source of this 682-nucleotide long non-coding RNA. RefSeq lists it as uncharacterized. The transcript is spliced from 2 exons. NCBI's taxonomy places the organism in Eukaryota, Metazoa, Chordata, Mammalia, Carnivora, Canidae. The record is from RefSeq and is a predicted model, not a curated record.
UGCUGAGCAGCAUGGAUGCUUUGAAGGGAAAAUGACAGAUCAAGGCAAUCAGACAUCAAUCAAGGUGUGAAAGCCAGAGGAUCUCCUUGGCAGAACAUUAAGAAUAAGAGUACAUUAACCAGGCUCAGGUCCUAAUCAAAGAGUAGUAGAUUGACCACCAGGGGCUGCUACAGAGUAGCAUUCCUGGGAACCAGGCAACAAGAAGAAAAGAAAAAUCCUUCAGCUUGACCCGAAGAACUGCAGAGUCUGAGAGUCAUGCUCAUUACUAUACCACCCGGAGGUCUCACACCACAGAUUUCAGCAGAUGUCUCUGGCCUUUGGUGAGGACUGUGCCUUGCCACAAGGGUGGAGCUGCCUGGAAUCAGUGCAAGCGUGAGGCUGAUGUUCACACCUAAAUGUGGCAUCUUGGAAUCCCUGGACAUUGAGCUCAGGCUGUGUCACAGCUGACAAUUUUCACAGCUACUCUGCCAGGAGCUGGAAAGCAUGGGGCCAGAAUGGAAGAUUCUUAUCUAGGCUUUUAAUUCCUUUUUUCUGGUGACUUCCCAUACACUGAGACUUACUUCCAAUAUAUCUUUAAUGGUCUCAGCACAUUCUAGAAAAAAAAAAAAAAAUAGCAGCAGCAGCUGGAUAGACUAGAAAAUUAUUUCUAUCCUUAAAACACACCCCAGGCCAAACUCUUCAU